AUACUUAGCUGGCAGGGGAGACACCAUGAUCACCAAAGUGGUUCUCCCAGGACGAGGCUAUCCCAUUGCACUUCGGGUGUGCUGACGCCUGCGAUGUCCCCAAAUGCGGGAUACUCGACUGCAAAAUGUAAUGCAUUUCGUUGUCUCUGUACUGUACACUGACAAU
Small nuclear RNA from Leucoraja erinaceus (little skate), 166 nucleotides. RefSeq annotates it as U1 spliceosomal RNA. The record is from RefSeq and is a predicted model, not a curated record. NCBI's taxonomy places the organism in Eukaryota, Metazoa, Chordata, Chondrichthyes, Rajiformes, Rajidae. The transcript has a single exon.